AUGUCUAUCUUCUCAUCGGAAGGAGCAGUUGAAGGAUGGUUACAUUACUCCCCACAAGACCAAACUAACUUCAGCUCAGAAGGACUGACAGAUCUCCAUUUUGUUGUUGUGAUGCGCAAGUACAAUGUUGUUUUAGGAUUCUUUCCGCUUGAUUUCAAUGGGAACUACAGAAAAUGUUCAGGAAUACAUCAAAUCAUUCAUUUCCACCACAAGAAAGGAGGUGCUGAUAAGUUCAAGGUGUUGCAACAUAUAAGGGCGAAAUCAUACAAGCUACGCAUGAAUUUGGUUGAUUUUGGUGGAACUGCACAAAAAGAAUAG
This 318-nucleotide ribosomal RNA is filed under the name Triticum aestivum (bread wheat). Its description in RNAcentral is "partial small subunit ribosomal RNA". Lineage: Eukaryota; Viridiplantae; Streptophyta; Magnoliopsida; Poales; Poaceae. The record is from RNAcentral.